RNAcentral lists this ribosomal RNA (289 nucleotides) under uncultured soil bacterium. RNAcentral's name for it is "partial 16S ribosomal RNA". It matches the Rfam family "Bacterial small subunit ribosomal RNA", at positions 26 to 346 of the family's 1533-position model. The record is from RNAcentral.
AGAACGAACGCUGGCGGCAUGCCUAAUACAUGCAAGUCGAACGAACACUUCGGUGUUAGUGGCGCACGGGUGCGUAACGCGUGGGAAUCUGCCCUUGGGUUCGGAAUAACAGUUGGAAACGACUGCUAAUACCGGAUGAUAUCGAAAGAUCAAAGAUUUAUCGCCCGGGAUGAGCCCGCGUAGGAUUAGCUAGUUGGUGAGUAAGGCUCACCAAGGCGACGAUCCUUAGCUGGUCUGAGAGGAUGAUCAGCCACACUGGGACUGAGACACGGCCCAGACUCCUACGGGA